UACGUAGGGACCGAGCGUUGUCCGGAAUCAUUGGGCGUAAAGAGCGUGUAGGCGGCCUUUUAAGUCCUGCGUGAAAUCCUGCGGCUCAACCGCAGACGGUCGUGGGAAACUGGAAGGCUAGAGUGCGGGAGAGGAGAGUGGAAUUCCCGGUGUAGCGGUGAAAUGCGCAGAUAUCGGGAAGAACACCCGUGGCGAAGGCGGGUUGCUGGGCUGAUACUGACGCUGAGGCACGAAGGUCAGGGGAGCAAACGGG
RNAcentral lists this ribosomal RNA (253 nucleotides) under uncultured bacterium. RNAcentral describes it as "partial 16S ribosomal RNA". It matches the Rfam family "Bacterial small subunit ribosomal RNA", at positions 524 to 776 of the family's 1533-position model. The record is from RNAcentral.